GGAAUAUUGGACAAUGGGCGCAAGCCUGAUCCAGCCAUGCCGCGUGUGUGAAGAAGGCCUUCGGGUUGUAAAGCACUUUUGUCCGGAAAGAAAUCCAAUCGAUUAAUACCCGGUUGGGAUCACGGUACCGGAAGAAUAAGCACCGGCUAACUUCGUGCCAGCAGCCGCGGUAAUACGAAGGGUGCAAGCGUUACGCGGAAUUACUGGGCGUAAAGCGUGCGUAGGUGGUUUGUUAAGUCUGAUGUGAAAGCCCUGGGCUCAACCUGGGAACGGCAUUGGAUACUGGCUUACUAGAGUGCGGUAGAGGGUAGUGGAAUUCCCGGUGUAGCAGUGAAAUGCGUAGAUAUCGGGAGGAACAUCUGUGGCGAAGGCGACUACCUGGACCAGCACUGACACUGAGGCACGAAAGCGUGGGGAGCAAACAG
This 425-nucleotide ribosomal RNA is filed under the name uncultured bacterium. Its description in RNAcentral is "bacterial SSU rRNA". It matches the Rfam family "Bacterial small subunit ribosomal RNA", at positions 358 to 775 of the family's 1533-position model. The record is from RNAcentral.